UAACGUGAUUGUGACUAGCAACCUUCACUACUUGUGAAUAUAAGUUCAUAACGAUUAGGUGAAACUCUCUUAUAUUCUAGCGUCAAAUUCAUGCAUGAAAAUUAAGCGUGCACUCUCAACCAACAUACACAAAUUAGUUUUUAUACGAACGGAUAAGUAAAUUGAAUUCACAACUUAUGAAUCACAACUGGAUGUAAUCAAAUCAUAUU
Molecule: long non-coding RNA, 209 nt
Filed under: Malus domestica (apple)
Lineage: Eukaryota; Viridiplantae; Streptophyta; Magnoliopsida; Rosales; Rosaceae
Description: long non-coding RNA (MDOM_LNC018866)
Source: RNAcentral